GCCAGGGGUGGUGGUGUAUGACAAUAAUUCCUGCUACCAGGAGGCUGAGGCUGAUGGAUGGCUUGAGCUCAGGAGUUCUGAGCUGCAAUGGUCUAGGUUGAUUCUGUGUGUGUACUAAGUUCAGUAUUAAUAGAAUGGUGAUGGGGGAAUAAGGUUGCCUAAAGAGGGGUGAACCGACCUGGGUUAUAAAUGAAGCAGGUCAGAACUCCUAUACUGAUCAGAGUGAAUGGGACCAGGUCUAUGAGUGGCUCCUGCACUUCUAUCCUGGGUGAAAUGGGGAAAUCCAGUCUUUA
RNAcentral lists this signal recognition particle RNA (293 nucleotides) under Vombatus ursinus (common wombat). RNAcentral's name for it is "Metazoan signal recognition particle RNA (ENSVURG00010013661.1)". It matches the Rfam family "Metazoan signal recognition particle RNA". Rfam says of the family: The signal recognition particle (SRP) is a universally conserved ribonucleoprotein. It is involved in the co-translational targeting of proteins to membranes. Lineage: Eukaryota; Metazoa; Chordata; Mammalia; Diprotodontia; Vombatidae. The record is from Rfam by way of RNAcentral.